UAGGGAAUAUUGCACAAUGGAGGAAACUCUGAUGCAGCGACGCCGCGUGAGUGAUGAAGGACUUCGGUUUGUAAAGCUCUGUUCUUAGGGAAUAAAAAAAUGAAUGUACCUGAGGAGAAAGGGACGGCUAACUUCGUGCCAGCAGCCGCGGUAAUACGAAGGUCCCAAGCGUUGCUCGGAAUCAUUGGGCGUAAAGCGGGUGCAGGUGGCUUUGUAAGUCAGGAGUGAAAGCCCAGGGCUCAACCCUGGAAGUGCUUUUGAUACUGCAAAGCUUGAGUGUGGGAGAGGAUGCUGGAAUUCCUGGUGUAGUGGUGAAAUACGUAGAUAUCAGGAGGAACCCCGGUGGCGAAGGCGGGUAUCUGGCCCAACACUGACACUUAGACCCGAAAGCGUGGGGAUCAAACAGG
RNAcentral lists this ribosomal RNA (407 nucleotides) under uncultured bacterium. Its description in RNAcentral is "bacterial SSU rRNA". It matches the Rfam family "Bacterial small subunit ribosomal RNA", at positions 355 to 776 of the family's 1533-position model. The record is from RNAcentral.